This 529-nucleotide unclassified non-coding RNA is filed under the name plant metagenome. RNAcentral describes it as "partial contains small subunit ribosomal RNA and internal transcribed spacer 1". The stretch from base 25 to 323 matches the Rfam family "Group I catalytic intron". Rfam says of the family: Group I catalytic introns are large self-splicing ribozymes. The record is from RNAcentral.
AAGUCGUAACAAGGUUUUGCUAAGCAACAGUCCUUCUGUAGCAGAGCUUAACGGAGACCUUGCACCCCGAGAGGGGGGGAGGCGACUAUAAAAGAACUCCCAGCGCAAGUCAGCCUAGCUGGCAACACAAUCGAAUUGCGGGGACGCUUUAAAGCCCACCGGUACCAACUGCUCCUCUGGGGCGGGGCCAGCUAUGCUGGAGGUCACAACCCGGUAGGAUACUACAAUAAGCAAUCCGCAGCGGCUCAGCCGUCCACAGACUAAGUGGUUGUGGGUAGGGAUCCCCUACUUAAGAUAUAGUCGGGCCUUGUGACAAGUCAUAGGGGCUUCUGCGUCCGUAGGUGAACCUGCGGAAGGAUCAUUAACCAUUGGAUACCUUCGGGGUAUAUCCCAUCCGUGUCUGCAUACUCUUGUUGCUUUGGCAGGCCGUGGUCACCCACUGUGGGCUAUGCCUUGCAUGUGCCUGCCAGAGGACCCAAACUCUGAAUUUUUAGUGGAUGUCUGAGGUACCUAUAUAAUAGUUCAAAAC